This 857-nucleotide ribosomal RNA is filed under the name uncultured archaeon. RNAcentral's name for it is "bacterial SSU rRNA". It matches the Rfam family "Archaeal small subunit ribosomal RNA", at positions 77 to 922 of the family's 1478-position model. The record is from RNAcentral.
AGUGGCACACUGCUCAGUAACACGUAGCUAACCUACCCUUAGGACGUGGAUACCCCCGAGAAAUUGGGGUUAUCCGCGAUAGAUGUAAUGUCCUGGAAUGGUAUUACGUCUAAAGGUAUUUCAUACAUGUUUGAAAUAUGCCUAAGGAUGGGGCUGCGGCCGAUCAGGCUGUUGGUGAGGUAAUGGCUCACCAAACCUUUGACCGGUACGGGCCAUGAGAGUGGUAGCCCGGAGAUGGACACUGAGACAAGGGUCCAGGCCCUAAGGGGCGCAGCAACCGCGAAACCUCCACAAUGCACUCACGUGCGAUGGGGCUAUCUCGAGUGCCACCUGAUGAAGGUGGCUUUUCCUUGGUCUUCAAAGCCUUGGGAAUAAGAGGGGGGCAAGACUGGUGUCAGCCGCCGCGGUAACACCAGCCCCUCGAGUGGUGGGGAUGAUUAUUUGGCCUAAAGCGUCCGUAGCCGGCCGUGAAAGUCUUCCGUUAAAUCCAGCGUCUCAAGCGUUGGACCGCGGGAGAUACUACAUGGCUAGAGAGUGGGAGAGGUCAGCGGUAUUCUGGGGGUAGGGGCGAAAUCCUUUGAUCCCCGGAGGACCACCAGUGGCGAAGGCUGCUGACUAGAACACGUCUGACGGUCAGGGACGAAAGCUGGGGUAGCGAACCGGAUUAGAUACCCGGGUAGUCCCAGCCGUAAACGAUGCAUGCUAGGUGUUGGGUUGGCCACGAGCCACCCCAGUGCCGCAGGGAAGCCGUUAAGCAUGCCGCCUGGGAAGUACGAUCGCAAGAUUGAAACUUAAAGGAAUUGGCGGGGGAGCACCACCAGGCGUGAAGCCUGCGGUUUAAUUGGAUUCAACCCGGG